This 248-nucleotide ribosomal RNA is filed under the name uncultured Muribaculaceae bacterium. RNAcentral describes it as "partial 16S ribosomal RNA". It matches the Rfam family "Bacterial small subunit ribosomal RNA", at positions 524 to 771 of the family's 1533-position model. The record is from RNAcentral. Lineage: Bacteria; Pseudomonadati; Bacteroidota; Bacteroidia; Bacteroidales; Muribaculaceae.
UACGUAGGGAGCAAGCGUUGUCCGGAUUUACUGGGUGUAAAGGGUGCGUAGGCGGCCUUUCAAGUCAGAUGUGAAAACCCGGGGCUUAACCCCGGGCCUGCAUUUGAAACUGUAGGGCUUGAGUGAUGGAGAGGUAAGCGGAAUUCCUAGUGUAGCGGUGAAAUGCGUAGAUAUUAGGAGGAACACCAGUGGCGAAGGCGGCUUACUGGACAUUAACUGACGCUGAGGCACGAAAGCGUGGGGAGCAA